RNAcentral lists this long non-coding RNA (1103 nucleotides) under Sinocyclocheilus grahami. RNAcentral's name for it is "lncRNA (ENSSGRG00000047025.1)". Lineage: Eukaryota; Metazoa; Chordata; Actinopteri; Cypriniformes; Cyprinidae. The record is from RNAcentral.
CAUCAAUACACUAAUAUUUCUAAAUAAUAUUACCUUAUUGAUGGGGUUGUUUUUGGAAUACAAAAUUUUGGGUUCUAAAGCAUAAUAAAUAUUUUCUUUGUGUCCCAAACAGUCGCUGUGUGUGUUGCGCAGCUGAAUUUGAAGGCAGCUGAUGGAGAAAAUGUCACCAUAUCCUUCAAAACUGCUGGACUUGAGAGAGCCGACCAAGUGAAGAUAACUUUUACAAGAGGAUGUAAGAAAAAUCUGAUUGCGCAGUACUGUCGCUGUGCUCAUUGUGGGGACUGUGAUGCCGUGGAAACACCGGGAGUCGUACUGAGAGUUGAAGAAGGAACCUUAACUCUUCUACGUGUCAGCUCCAAUAACUCAGGCCUCUAUGAAGUAAUAAUCAUUGGAAAUAACGUGUCUGAGAUGAAAGUUACACUUGUUGUCAACAAACCACCAUUUUCCUCCAGUAUAGAGCCAAGACAAACCUCCAUCUCAAAACCUCCCAACGUCUCUGAAAGACACAGGCUAUGUGUGUUACCUGCUCUAGUUGUAUUCAGCCUGGGGGUCUUAGGGGUUUAUUUGCUCUAUAAAUGGAAGAGGGGAUGUGAGCCAGUAGCUGAUGCUGAAGCAGCCAGAGAUCCAGUGUGAAGCGCUUGCAUUCAGUGAAGAACACAAGCGACUUAUGAAUGACACAAAUGAUUUCAACUAGUUUAAAGCCAGAUGAAACAGCACUGACAAAUAGCAGAAGCACUGUGAGCAAUGAGACAGUCAGAAGCCUUUUCAGUCUAUAAAUCGCCAUCAUUUACCAUGGGUUUACUGUAGUAACACGAACCACUAUGGUAUUGUGGCAGAGAUGCGGGAUAUUCAGAUAGAAUUUUAUUAUAUUAUUCACGUAGACUAUAGCGUUUGUGCUUUUAUACUAAAUGUGUUUCGACUACUGUUUUUCAUACAAAUACCUAGAAACAAAGUUAAAUUUUUACCUUGGUGUUGAGGUGUUAUGUGUGGUUUUAACUGUGGUUAUCAUGAUCUAAAUGUGUGCUAUAUGGAAGACCAGUGGUUAAAUUUAAUAAAACUCAAAUAGUCAGAACAAUUACAUUUCACCAUAAUUUUUUUACAAU